UCUCUGGUAGAAAGUACGUCAU
This 22-nucleotide microRNA is filed under the name Tribolium castaneum (red flour beetle). RNAcentral's name for it is "tca-miR-3834-3p". The record is from miRBase by way of RNAcentral. Lineage: Eukaryota; Metazoa; Arthropoda; Insecta; Coleoptera; Tenebrionidae.